Small nuclear RNA from Hippopotamus amphibius kiboko, 107 nucleotides. The record is from RefSeq and is a predicted model, not a curated record. Lineage: Eukaryota; Metazoa; Chordata; Mammalia; Artiodactyla; Hippopotamidae.
GUGCCUACUUCACCAGCACACACACUAAAAUCCGAACAAUACAGAGAAGGUUCUCAGGGCUCCUGCACGAGGAUGGUACACAAAUUCGUGAAGUAUUCCAUAUUUUU